GAAUCUGUGGCAUUGUGGGUCAAGGUAACAGUGAAUGUAUUUUUCCUUUUCACUUCCAUGAACAUCUUCUCCCUUCAGCAUAUACAUUAUGUGGAUAGACGUACUUUAUUGAUUUUACAAAUGGCUUAUGUGUAGUGCAUACAAAUUUUCUUUCGAGGAUUAAGUAUGUGAAUUUCUUUGCUUUUGUCACACUAUCUUUUUGAAAGUUUUACUCCUUUUAUUAGUCAUCCAUAAAUGAAACAUUUAUAG
Molecule: unclassified non-coding RNA, 249 nt
Filed under: Hevea brasiliensis (rubber tree)
Lineage: Eukaryota; Viridiplantae; Streptophyta; Magnoliopsida; Malpighiales; Euphorbiaceae
Source: RNAcentral